RNAcentral lists this ribosomal RNA (734 nucleotides) under Ditylenchus dipsaci. Its description in RNAcentral is "partial 18S ribosomal RNA". It matches the Rfam family "Eukaryotic small subunit ribosomal RNA", at positions 173 to 927 of the family's 1831-position model. Lineage: Eukaryota; Metazoa; Nematoda; Chromadorea; Rhabditida; Anguinidae. The record is from RNAcentral.
GKCCSCARGYSCAUSCCWUACGGAAGGGUGCAUUUAUUAGAACAAAACCAAGCGACUUCGGUCGUUUUYYKUUGACUCAGAAUAACUAAGCUGAUCGCAUGGUCUUGCACCGGCGAMRUGUCUUUCAAGUAUCUGCCUUAUCAACUUUCGAUGGUAGUGUAUCUGACUACCAUGGUGGUGACGGGUWYCSKAGGAUAAGGGUUUGACUCCGGAGAAGGGGCCUGAGAAAUGGCCACUACGUCUAAGGAUGGCAGCAGGCGCGCAAAUUACCCACUCUCAGAACGAGGAGGUAGUGACGAAAAAUAACGAGACCGUUCUCUACGAGGCCGGUCAUCGGAAUGGGUACAAUCUAAACCMUUUAACGAGUAUCUAUGAGAGGGCAAGUCUGGUGCCAGCAGCCGCGGUAAUUCCAGCUCUCAAAAUGCAUAGAAUUAUUGCUGCGGUUAAAAAGCUCGUAGUUGGAUCUGUGCUGAGGACCUGGUCCACCUUCGGGUGCGUACUAGGMUCCACGGCUUUUCUGCCGGUUUUCCCGUCAUGGCUUUCAUCGGCUGUGGCGGGUGGCUGGUGAUUUUACUUUGAACAAAUCAGAGUGCUUCAAACAGGCGUUUAGCUUGAAUGUUUUUGCAUGGAAUAAUAGAAGAGGAUUUCGGUUCUAUUUWAUUGGUUUUAUAGACUGAAAUAAUGGUUAACAGAGACCAACGGGGGCAUUCGUACUGUUGCGKGRRARKGKGAAA